CACUAUGCCUAGCCAUAAACAUUGAUAGCGUACUACAUCUGCUAUCCGCCCGGGGACUACGAGCAUCAGCUUGAAACCCAAAGGACUUGGCGGUGCUUUAGAUCCACCUAGAGGAGCCUGUUCUAGAACCGAUUACCCCCGUUCAACCUCACCUUUCCUUGUUUUCUCCGCCUAUAUACCACCGUCGUCAGCUUACCCUGUGAAGGACCAAUAGUAAGCAAGAUUGGCAUCGCCCAAAACGUCAGGUCGAGGUGUAGCGUAUGGAAAGGGAAGAAAUGGGCUACAUUCCCUAAUACAGUGAAUUACGAACGAUAUAUUGAAAUAUAUACCUGAAGGAGGAUUUAGCAGUAAGCAGAAAAUAGAGCGUUCCGCUGAAACCGGCCCUGAAGCGCGCACACACCGCCCGUCACUCUCCCCAAGCUCAUAACUUCAAAUACCUAAAGCCUUAAAACUGCAAAGGGGAGGCAAGUCGUAA
This 475-nucleotide ribosomal RNA is filed under the name Lutjanus bohar (two-spotted red snapper). RNAcentral describes it as "partial small subunit ribosomal RNA". It matches the Rfam family "Bacterial small subunit ribosomal RNA", at positions 788 to 1491 of the family's 1533-position model. The record is from RNAcentral. Lineage: Eukaryota; Metazoa; Chordata; Actinopteri; Lutjaniformes; Lutjanidae.